This 291-nucleotide ribosomal RNA is filed under the name uncultured bacterium. Its description in RNAcentral is "partial 16S ribosomal RNA". The record is from RNAcentral.
GGACUACCGGGGUAUCUAAUCCCGUUCGCUACCCUGGCUUUCGCACCUCAGCGUCAGUUACUGACCAGCAAGUCGCCUUCGCCACCGGUGUUCUUCCCAAUAUCUACGCAUUUCACCGCUACACUGGGAAUUCCCCUUGCCUCUUCAGUACUCCAGUCUAUCAGUCUCAAUAGCGGGUUAAGGUUAAGCCUCAACAUUUUACUACUGACUUGAUAAACAGCCUACAUGCCCUUUACGCCCAGUAAUUCCGGACAACGCUCGUCCCCUACGUAUUACCGCGGCGGCUGGCAC